AGAAAACCAUCUUUCCAAGAGGUGGCAGGUUUAGAAGCAUGGGCUAUUGGAGAUGAGGAUGAAAAGCCUUGACAAGAAUUUUACUUGAAUUUCAAACUCCUUGGAAGAAUGACCUAAAACAUUUUUGGGUUAUGUAUGUAUUAUCUUUUUAAGGUCUGAUGCAGAACAAGAAUUGAUGAUGUAAUUGCAUCGCUCUGUCCCCCAGCCCAGCGUUUGGCCUUUGGUGCUGCCCCCUGGCAUGGGGGUAUUUCCCAUUCCACCUCCUGGGAGGACGAACAUCCUCACAGGGGCAUCCGAGAGUCCAGAGCCCCUGGCCUGGGACAGCAAGGCACAGGACAAGCGAGCCUGCAGGCCUUCCCAGGUCCUGUACCUCUGUGGUCACCCUGCCAUCUGAGUGUAAUGGGUCUCAGUCUCGGGGAGCUUAGGCCAGUCCUUCCCACUGUGGGUUGAGUCCAGGACUGGAGGAGAAGACAAUACAAUCAGGUCGAUACUUGUCGGGGUGUGGCUGUGGCUGAGGGCAGAAUCAGUGCCCCAUCAGCCUGGGUCUACAACGUGAACUUCUUUUAUCUUCAGAAGAGCACAAAACUGAUCACCUAAAAUAACAAAGUUAGACAAGAUUUCUAAUGGUUUGCUUGUUUCAUCAUGAGAGGAUGUGACUUAGGCUGUCCUAUUUUCCAGGUGUAUGUGUUGUGAAAUCGAGUGACAGUGAACAGUGCAAGUUACCACUGAGUGUGAACGAUCUCUGUGUUAAAGAGUGUGCACUGAGCAAGCCUUCCUGCUCAGCUGGGCCGCAGUAAGGCUGCUGAUGCUUUUCUUCUUCCUUGAAUUACCACCGAGAGGAAUUUUUUCCCGGGAGGAUUUCUUUCCAGAUUUAGGUAAGAAGGUGGUCACUGUCCGUGUCUUUCAGUGGAUCCCUGAAGUGCCCCGGAGGUGGCUGAGCUGAGCCGGCAGGGCCGCGGCUGUACCGUGCCAUCUCUGUGUGGUGGACGCGGAGCUGAGGGCUGCAGAGAAGAUGCCUCUGGUGAGUUUACAGUUGAUAUUUACACCCAUUCUCUAAAGGUUUCCCUUCUUUUUCUUCAUAAGAAAUUAUCCAGCUGUGACCACGUGUUGAAUGGCAAAACAAGAUCCAGGAGUGGGGUUUAGGGAGAGGAGCUGGUGGUACCCCCUUACAUUUCAAAGCCAUGAACAUCCGUUUCCAGUCCAAGUGCAGACAAAUGAGCCCUUUGAGCUACCGACUGACCAAGCUCAUGGGCCUGAGAUGGGCUUUCAGCGCUGCUGGACUAGACCAGUCUCAUCUGACCCGACAGCUUGUACUGGUUCUGUUUGCUGUCCUCAAAAGAUGGAGCACCUAGCACAGACGUUUGCAUGAAAAGGGGCACCUCCUAGGGCUGACAAGCCAGCCUGUCACAUCCUAUUUCGGCAGAAGUCGUGAGACUCUGGGCAAGACACAGGAUGCUGUGACCCACAGCGAGAACGGUGCUAGAGCUUAUCCUUCUUUUGUGGUGGGUCCCCCUCCCCUCCCUUCCCCAGGACCCUCCCGAGGGUGCCUUCACCGGCAGAGGGCAGCUCUAUAGAAGCAGAACCCUAGCUUAUGCUUCCUAAACGGGGGGGGAAAAAAAGAGAAG
Long non-coding RNA from Bos taurus (domestic cattle), 1625 nucleotides. The record is from Ensembl. NCBI's taxonomy places the organism in Eukaryota, Metazoa, Chordata, Mammalia, Artiodactyla, Bovidae.